CACGUAGGGCGCAAGCGUUGUCCGGAAUUAUUGGGCGUAAAGAGCUCGUAGGCGGUCUGUUGCGUCCGCUGUGAAAACUCGGGGCUUAACCCCGAGCCUGCAGUGGAUACGGGCAGACUAGAGGUAGGUAGGGGAGAAUGGAAUUCCCGGUGUAGCGGUGAAAUGCGCAGAUAUCAGGAGGAACACCGGUGGCGAAGGCGGAUCUCUGGGCCUUACCUGACGCUCAGGCGCGAAAGCGUGGGGAGCGAACAGG
RNAcentral lists this ribosomal RNA (253 nucleotides) under uncultured bacterium. RNAcentral describes it as "partial 16S ribosomal RNA". It matches the Rfam family "Bacterial small subunit ribosomal RNA", at positions 524 to 776 of the family's 1533-position model. The record is from RNAcentral.